GACGAACGCUGGCGGCGUGCUUAACACAUGCAAGUCGAACGGAAAGGCCCUGCUUUUGUGGGGUGCUCGAGUGGCGAACGGGUGAGUAACACGUGAGUAACCUGCCCUUGACUUUGGGAUAACUUCAGGGAACUGGGGCUAAUACCGGAUAGGAGCUCCUGCUGCAUGGUGGGGGUUGGAAAGUUUCGGCGGUUGGGGAUGGACUCGCGGCUUAUCAGCUUGUUGGUGGGGUAGUGGCUUACCAAGGCUUUGACGGGUAGCCGGCCUGAGAGGGUGACCGGCCACAUUGGGACUGAGAUACGGCCCAGACUCCUACGGGAGGCAGCGGUUGGGAAUAUUGCACAAUGGGCGGAAGCCUGAUGCAGCAACGCCGCGUGCGGGAUGACGGCCUUCGGGUUGUAAACCGCUUUCGCCUGUGACGAAGCGUGAGUGACGGUAAUGGGUAAAGAAGCACCGGCUAACUACGUGCCAGCAGCCGCGGUGAUACGUAGGGUGCGAGCGUUGUCCGGAUUUAUUGGGCGUAAAGGGCUCGUAGGUGGUUGAUCGCGUCGGAAGUGUAAUCUUGGGGCUUAACCCUGAGCGUGCUUUCGAUACGGGUUGACUUGAGGAAGGUAGGGGAGAAUGGAAUUCCUGGUGGAGCGGUGGAAUGCGCAGAUAUCAGGAGGAACACCAGUGGCGAAGGCGGUUCUCUGGGCCUUUCCUGACGCUGAGGAGCGAAAGCGUGGGGAGCGAACAGGCUUAGAUACCCUGGUAGUCCACGCUGUAAACGGUGGGUACUAGGUGUGGGGUCCAUUCCACGGGUUCCGUGCCGUAGCUAACGCUUUAAGUACCCCGCCUGGGGAGUACGGCCGCAAGGCUAAAACUCAAAGGAAUUGACGGGGCCCCGCACAAGCGGCGGAGCAUGCGGACUAAUUCGAUGCAACGCGUAGAACCUUACCUGGGUUUGACAUGGAUCGGGAGCGCUCAGAGAUGGGUGUGCCUCUUUUGGGGUCGGUUCACAGGUGGUGCAUGGCUGUCGUCAGCUCGUGUCGUGAGAUGUUGGGUUAAGUCCCGCAACGAGCGCAACCCUUGUUCACUGUUGCCAGCACGUUAUGGUGGGGACUCAGUGGAGACCGCCGGGGUCAACUCGGAGGAAGGUGGGGAUGACGUCAAGUCAUCAUGCCCCUUAUGUCCAGGGCUUCACGCAUGCUACAAUGGCUGGUACAGAGAGUGGCGAGCCUGUGAGGGUGAGCGAAUCUCGGAAAGCCGGUCUCAGUUCGGAUUGGGGUCUGCAACUCGACCUCAUGAAGUCGGAGUCGCUAGUAAUCGCAGAUCAGCAACGCUGCGGUGAAUACGUUCCCGGG
This 1343-nucleotide ribosomal RNA is filed under the name uncultured bacterium. RNAcentral's name for it is "16S ribosomal RNA". It matches the Rfam family "Bacterial small subunit ribosomal RNA", at positions 28 to 1378 of the family's 1533-position model. The record is from RNAcentral.